RNAcentral lists this ribosomal RNA (492 nucleotides) under uncultured bacterium. RNAcentral's name for it is "partial 16S ribosomal RNA". It matches the Rfam family "Bacterial small subunit ribosomal RNA", at positions 29 to 507 of the family's 1533-position model. The record is from RNAcentral.
AGUGAACGCUGGCGGUAGGCCUAACACAUGCAAGUCGAACGGCAGCACAGUAAGAGCUUGCUCUUACGGGUGGCGAGUGGCGGACGGGUGAGGAAUACAUCGGAAUCUACUUUUUCGUGGGGGAUAACGUAGGGAAACUUACGCUAAUACCGCAUACGACCUACGGGUGAAAGCAGGGGAUCUUCGGACCUUGCGCGAUUGAAUGAGCCGAUGUCGGAUUAGCUAGUUGGCGGGGUAAAGGCCCACCAAGGCGACGAUCCGUAGCUGGUCUGAGAGGAUGGUCCGCCACACUGGAACUUGGACACCGUCCAGACUCCUACGGGAGGCAGCAGUGGGGAAUAUUGGACAAUGGGCGCAAGCCUGAUCCAGCCAUACCGCGUGGGUGAAGAAGGCCUUCGGGUUGUAAAGCCCUUUUGUUGGGAAAGAAAAGCAGCAGGUUAAUACCCCGCUGUUCUGACGGUACCCAAAGAAUAAGCACCGGCUAACUUCGUG